ACAGGCAGCACCAUCUGGCCUGAGGUCACAAGUACAAUUCAAUGUGGAGGUUCUCUGUCAAGAGCUUACAGCUAACAUAGUGAAAUUAGAAAAGAUACAAAAUAACUUACAGAAGUUGCUUGAGAAUGGUGACUGAUCGACCAGAUUGCUUGGGCCAUCGGAAUACCUCAUGUUUCCCUUUGAAGAAGGUGCUUCCUGAGGCGUUUUGUUUGAGUGCACCCUGCUGGUCAGAGGUGCAAGCAGAUGAGAAUCCAGACAUUGCAUGUGGAGGUCUCCAGCUCAGGAAAGUGAGGAGGGAAAUAAUUUUGGUUCUUGUGCAAUAAAAGUUGACCUUGACUCUCUGAGGAAGAUUUUGCUGCUUUUGCCUGAAGAAAACAGACCCAUCUCUGGAGGUCUCAGGAAGGGCCCAGCGAACACACUCUCUUGGAUAAUUACCACGAUGGCGUCAGCAAACACUCCACCCUGUGCCUUUUUAGUCCUUCCCGCCCUCCUGCCUCUCCCUUACACCCCUCUUAACGACUUUCAAACUAAAGGAUACAUCAUAUACUGACAAACUCAAUGUGGUCCUUUCAAGAAUUAGCCAUGAGUCUCAAAAAGGCAAUAAAUGGCUCUAAGUGGACAGGUUUGCUUCAAACAAGUAACAUCUACAUUUUGUCUUUUUUUUUUCAGUUCUCCUGUUAUGUUCUGGUUGAAAUCACCUGUGUGUCUUAAUUUCUCAAUUCCUUUUUGGCAAGAAUAUCAAGCAAGGUGAAUUUAACAUUAUGUUUAUGUUUUGUUUUGUUGCUGUAACUAAUAGUUAAUUGGACUGAUUCUUACCCAGCCCUGGUCAAGAAUCUGUGAGGCAUGUGACUGAAGUACUAAAUUAAACUUAUUUUGAAACCAAACCUAAUUUUUAAGCCAAAAGGUGUAAUAGUGAUUUAAUACAGGAUGAAAAACACUGAAUUUUUAAGACUGUAGGUGGACUAUGUUAGUAGUUUUCAAGCAGGAUGUCUGUAUUCAGCAUUCAAUAAUGCUAAAAUCCCUUUCAGCAUGAAAUUUGUAUGUUUUUAUCCUUUGCUGACUAAAAUAAAAUAACUGGUGGUUUGCUAACUAUUUACCAUAUGGGUUGGCUGGUUUUUAUUAAUAAUUGUUUAGGGUAUCAUAAGAUCUGUAAGUACAAAGGAUAUUCUGUUUCUAUCUGCAAUGCAUUUGAUAAUCAUUUCUAUGAAAUGUAUUUUAUUUAAUCAGAUAAGCUAAUAAGCGAAUUGGUUACAUCGUUUGUAUCUGUUGGCCUAGUGGACAGCUGUGCCUGGUGCACCUCUGGCUUUUAAUAAAUACUCAUUG
Molecule: long non-coding RNA, 1323 nt
Filed under: Homo sapiens (human)
Lineage: Eukaryota; Metazoa; Chordata; Mammalia; Primates; Hominidae
Description: HSALNT0094042
Source: RNAcentral